ACACAGAGGGUGCGAGCGUUAAUCGGAAUUACUGGGCGUAAAGCGCGCGUAGGCGGCUUGGUCAGUCGGAUGUGAAAGCCCCGGGCUCAACCUGGGAAUGGCAUUCGAUACUGCCAGGCUAGAGUAUGGGAGAGGGAAGUGGAAUUUCCGGUGUAGCGGUGAAAUGCGUAGAUAUCGGAAGGAACACCAGUGGCGAAGGCGACUUCCUGGCCCAAUACUGACGCUGAGGUGCGAAAGCGUGGGGAGCGAACAGGAUUAGAUACCCUAGUAGUCC
This 274-nucleotide ribosomal RNA is filed under the name uncultured bacterium. RNAcentral's name for it is "partial 16S ribosomal RNA". It matches the Rfam family "Bacterial small subunit ribosomal RNA", at positions 523 to 796 of the family's 1533-position model. The record is from RNAcentral.